This is a long non-coding RNA of Papaver somniferum (opium poppy), 643 nucleotides long. RefSeq lists it as uncharacterized. NCBI's taxonomy places the organism in Eukaryota, Viridiplantae, Streptophyta, Magnoliopsida, Ranunculales, Papaveraceae. The record is from RefSeq and is a predicted model, not a curated record. The transcript is spliced from 3 exons.
UUUGAUGUAUAUGGUAAAGAAAACUCCCAAGCCAUAAGUGAUGGUCAUUUAUUAUGGCAAGCUGACGGAGAUGUUCCGGGUUUCGAACUAUCAACUUUAUAAUGCAUAUGCAUGGUCCAAACUGUUCUCACGACAAAGGGUACUGCAGGAGUUGCCAUAGCUAGUGUUUUGGGAGUCUAAUGUAUGCUUAUAACAGAGCACAAUGGACAAAAACAAUGGAGGCUAUGGAUAUGUUUCAGCUGCUCAAGAUCCUAACAGUAUCCUAACUAAGGCUAUGUCGGUCCUGGAUAUGGUAACAUGUAUUAUGCCAACUAUUGGGUCUAUAUUUAUACCGCCACAUGAUAUCUUAUAAAUGCAUUUUUUUUAUAUAUAAAUUGGAAUUAAUUAGUUUAUGGGAUUCAUGUAUAAUCAACGACUAGAAGACUAGAAUUUGAGAAUGAUAUCGUGCCAGAUUGAACGUGGUAUGGCUAGCUAGUCCAAACUGGUAGCUAGGAUUAUCUUUUAAAUUUCUAUAUGGUAGAUUGAUUAGUCCUAUUUUGGCAAACUACUGCAAUGAUAUUCAAGUGGUGUAGGGUAGGAGUAUCGUAGCUUGUGGAUUGGUUCCUUGUUUGUCUUUAAAAUGCGGAAUACUGCGAAUGUCUCC